This 253-nucleotide ribosomal RNA is filed under the name uncultured bacterium. RNAcentral describes it as "partial 16S ribosomal RNA". It matches the Rfam family "Bacterial small subunit ribosomal RNA", at positions 524 to 776 of the family's 1533-position model. The record is from RNAcentral.
UACGUAGGGUGCAAGCGUUGUCCGGAAUUAUUGGGCGUAAAGAGCUCGUAGGCGGUCUGUCGCGUCUGCUGUGAAAACCUGGGGCUUAACCCCGGGCCUGCAGUGGGCACGGGCAGACUAGAGUGCGGUAGGGGAGACUGGAAUUCCUGGUGUAGCGGUGAAAUGCGCAGAUAUCAGGAGGAACACCGGUGGCGAAGGCGGGUCUCUGGGCCGUAACUGACGCUGAGGAGCGAAAGCAUGGGGAGCGAACAGG